RNAcentral lists this ribosomal RNA (255 nucleotides) under uncultured bacterium. RNAcentral's name for it is "partial 16S ribosomal RNA". It matches the Rfam family "Bacterial small subunit ribosomal RNA", at positions 524 to 776 of the family's 1533-position model. The record is from RNAcentral.
UACGUAGGUGGCAAGCGUUUGUCCGGAAUUAUUGGGCGUAAAGCGCGCGCAGGCGGUUCUUUUAAGUCUGAUGUGAAAGCCCACGGCUCAACCGUGGAGGGUCAUUGGAAACUGGGGAACUUGAGUACAGAAGAGGAAAGCGGAAUUCCACGUGUAGCGGUGAAAUGCGUAGAGAUGUGGAGGAACACCAGUGGCGAAGGCGGCUUUCUGGUCUGUAACUGACGCUGAGGCGCGAAAGCGUGGGGAGCAAACAGG